RNAcentral lists this ribosomal RNA (253 nucleotides) under uncultured bacterium. RNAcentral's name for it is "partial 16S ribosomal RNA". It matches the Rfam family "Bacterial small subunit ribosomal RNA", at positions 524 to 776 of the family's 1533-position model. The record is from RNAcentral.
UACGUAGGCAGCGAGCGUUGUUCGGAGUUACUGGGCGUAAAGGGUGUGUAGGCGGUUUUUUAAGUUUGGUGUGAAAUCUCCCGGCUCAACCGGGAGGGUGCGCCGAAUACUGAGGGACUAGAGUGCGGGAGAGGAAAGUGGAAUUCCUGGUGUAGCGGUGAAAUGCGUAGAUAUCAGGAGGAACACCGGUGGUGUAGACGGCUUUCUGGACCGUAACUGACGCUGAGACACGAAAGCGUGGGUAGCAAACAGG